UUUUCAUUUACCUACAUAUUGCAGUAUUUAUUGUCUGUUGUUGCUUAGAUUUAAAAGAAAAUUCAGGUUAUGAUUUCAAAUCCUUUAUCUGAUCAAAAGCAACUAACGUCCAGAUCUCUUUUGUGAGCCUAUUCUUAAAGAAUUGACCUAAGGAAAACCUUGAUUUUCUAGGAAGAUACUCUUAUCUACCUGACUUUGGAAAUACAGAUAACAAUGUUGCACACUCUUAGGUACACGGGUGAUGGAAGAGGAUUUGUGGCAUAAUGAUUAAGAGCUUGGUUCUGGAAUCAAACAAACCUGGCCUGGAUUCCCUGGGCCUCCUGCUUAUGGUUCUGACACUGAGAUACCCAAAUUGGCAUUUGAAAAAUGCUUUGAACUCUUCCAGCGGAAAAAUACUAUGUAAUGUUAAUAUGAUAUAUUUAUUUUCACAAGUACAAGUAAAG
This 443-nucleotide long non-coding RNA is filed under the name Vulpes vulpes (red fox). RNAcentral's name for it is "lncRNA (ENSVVUG00000000478.1)". Lineage: Eukaryota; Metazoa; Chordata; Mammalia; Carnivora; Canidae. The record is from RNAcentral.